RNAcentral lists this ribosomal RNA (513 nucleotides) under Latirus vischii. RNAcentral's name for it is "partial 16S ribosomal RNA". It matches the Rfam family "Bacterial large subunit ribosomal RNA", at positions 1817 to 2600 of the family's 2925-position model. The record is from RNAcentral. Lineage: Eukaryota; Metazoa; Mollusca; Gastropoda; Neogastropoda; Fasciolariidae.
GGCUCCUCGUAGACGCAAAGAUGGGGAGUCGGACCUGCCCAGUGAAUUUUUUUUAACGGCCGCGGUACUCUGACCGUGCAAAGGUAGCAUAAUCAUUUGCCUUAUAAUUGAAGGCUAGUAUGAAUGGUUUGACAAGAGUAUAGCUGUCUCUUUAUGAUUCUAUAGAAUUUUAUAUUUAGGUGAAGAAGCCUAGCUAUGAUUAAAAGACAAGAAGACCCUAUCGAGCUUUAAAAGAACAAAUAGGAUAAUUUAUUUAUAAUAUUAAAAAGUUUUCUAUUAAAUAUUUUAGUUGGGGCGACUUAGGAACAAAGGAAGCUUCCUUUAAACUGAACUAUUAAUAGAUAAAGAUCCAAAAGUUUUGAUUAAAAGAAUUAGCUACCGUAGGGAUAACAGCAUUAUCUUUUUUGAGAGCUCUCAUCGAAAAAAAGGUUUGUGACCUCGAUGUUGGACCAGAAUAUCCCAAAGAUGCAGCAGUCUUUAAAGGUUGGUCUGUUCGACCAUUAAAAUUCUACG